Molecule: ribosomal RNA, 497 nt
Filed under: uncultured bacterium
Lineage: Bacteria
Description: partial 16S ribosomal RNA
Rfam family: Bacterial small subunit ribosomal RNA
Source: RNAcentral
GAUGAACGCUGGCGGCGUGCCUAAUACAUGCAAGUCGAGCGAACAGACGAGGAGCUUGCUCCUCUGAUGUUAGCGGCGGACGGGUGAGUAACACGUGGAUAACCUACCUAUAAGACUGGGAUAACUUCGGGAAACCGGAGCUAAUACCGGAUAACAUGUUGAACCGCAUGGUUCAACAGUGAAAGACGGUCUUGCUGUCACUUAUAGAUGGAUCCGCGCCGCAUUAGCUAGUUGGUAAGGUAACGGCUUACCAAGGCAACGAUGCGUAGCCGACCUGAGAGGGUGAUCGGCCACACUGGAACUGAGACACGGUCCAGACUCCUACGGGAGGCAGCAGUAGGGAAUCUUCCGCAAUGGGCGAAAGCCUGACGGAGCAACGCCGCGUGAGUGAAGAAGGUCUUCGGAUCGUAAAACUCUGUUAUUAGGGAAGAACAAAUGUGUAAGUACCUAUGCACGUCUUGACGGUACCUAAUCAGAAAGCCACGGCUAACUACGUG